CUUUUACUUUCACUAACACGAUAAAGCACAAAUAAUGCCACAUGUUGUGCUCUUCUUUAAUGUGCUCUUCAAAGGUGACUGUCUUGUUAUCAAACUUAUCUCUUUCCAAACCACAAAUAAAGCAAGUUGUUUUUAAAAUCUCUUCUUUCUUCUGUUUUUCACUCCUUAAAUCAGCAAAAGUAUCAAUGAUCACACCAAAAAUCAGGUUAAGGACAAUAAUGAUGACCAUGAAGAAGAAUAACAGAUCAUAUAUCACUCUAGCAGCAAAGAGAGGUUCCUCUUUGGAUGGUUUCCUGAGCACAUCACCUAC
RNAcentral lists this long non-coding RNA (310 nucleotides) under Gallus gallus (chicken). Lineage: Eukaryota; Metazoa; Chordata; Aves; Galliformes; Phasianidae. The record is from RNAcentral.